GUGUUUGCUUUGGCAGCACAUAUACUAAAGUUGAACUCUACAGACAAACUAGCAUGGCCCCUGUGCAACCAUGACAUGCAAAUUCAUGCAGCAUUCCAUAUUUUU
Molecule: small nuclear RNA, 105 nt
Organism: Jaculus jaculus (lesser Egyptian jerboa)
Lineage: Eukaryota; Metazoa; Chordata; Mammalia; Rodentia; Dipodidae
Source: Ensembl